CCUCACCCUCGUAAGACUACCCGCUGAACUUAAGCAUAUCAAUAAGCGGAGGAAAAGAAACCAACAGGGAUUGCCUCAGUAACGGCGAGUGAAGCGGCAAAAGCUCAAAUUUGAAAUCCCCCGGGAAUUGUAAUUUGAAGAGAUUUGGGUCCGGCCGGCAGGGGUUAAGUCCACUGGAAAGUGGCGCCACAGAGGGUGACAGCCCCGUGAACCCCUUUAACGCCCUCAUCCCAGAUCUCCAAGAGUCGAGUUGUUUGGGAAUGCAGCUCUAAGUGGGUGGUAAAUUCCAUCUAAAGCUAAAUACCGGCGAGAGACCGAUAGCGAACAAGUACAGUGAUGGAAAGAUGAAAAGCACUUUGAAAAGAGAGUGAAAAAGUACGUGAAAUUGUUGAAAGGGAAGGGCUUGCAAGCAGACACUUAACUGGGCCAGCAUCGGGGCGGCGGGGAGCAAAACCACUGGGGAAUGUACCUUUCGAGGAUUAUAACCCCGGUCCUUACUCCCUCACCAUCCCGAGGCCUGCAAUCUAAGGAUGCUGGCGUAAU
This 543-nucleotide ribosomal RNA is filed under the name Metschnikowia aff. chrysoperlae P40A002. Its description in RNAcentral is "LSU rRNA". It matches the Rfam family "Eukaryotic large subunit ribosomal RNA", at positions 1 to 542 of the family's 3401-position model. Lineage: Eukaryota; Fungi; Ascomycota; Pichiomycetes; Serinales; Metschnikowiaceae. The record is from RNAcentral.